GGAAGGAUCAUUAACGAAUCGUGUUUUGGUGGAUCAGCCAAAUACAUAAGUGCUCUCACCGUAAUGGAGAGGUGCAUCUAUAUAUAUUCAUAUAGUGUAUUAUUGUAUUUUGAUUUGGUGUGAUUAUAUAUAUGAUGUUUGAUAUCAAAUAUCAAAUAUCAAAUAUAGUCACGUAAAAUAUAAAACACUUUUAACAAUGGAUCUCUUGGCUCUUGCAUCGAUGAAGAACGCAGUAAUGUGCGAAAAGUAAUGCGAAUUGCAUACCUCUGCGAGUCAUCUAGUCUUUGAACGCAAAUGGCACUGCUACGACGAGUGGCAGUAUGUCUGUUUGAGAACCGCAAAACCCAUCACCACAUUAUGUGGUGGACGUGUCCCUUUUGUUGGAUGAUGUAUAUCAUUUGAAAAAGGGAUGAAAAUUAUAGUGUUGCGGGCACUCUUAGAGUAUGUGAUAAUCAUUCAUAUUCCAAGGGUGCUUUUGAGUGUUCAUAUCUGAUAUAUUAUCAUGUGUGAAACAUUCGCGCAAUACAUCAAUAUAAUAUAUACAUAUUAUAUACAUUAUCAUACGGUCUCAAAUCAGACAAGAUUACCCGCUGAACUUAAGCAUAUCAGUAAGCGGAGGAAAAGAAACUAACAAGGAUUCCCGUAGUAACUGCGAGUGAAGUGGGAAUAGCUCAAAUUUAAAAUCUGGUCCACUUGUGGAUCCGAAUUGUAGUCUAUAGAGGUGCUUUCUUGGGGAUGUGUGCGCACAAGUGUCCUGGAAUGGACCAUCACAGAGGGUGAGAAUCCCGUUUUGGUGCACAACAUCCACAUCUAUGAGGCACUCUCGAAGAGUCGAGUUGUUUGGGAAUGCAGCUCAAAUUGGGUGGUAAACUUCAUCCAAGGCUAAAUAUUGGCAAGAGACCGAUAGCGAACAAGUACCGUGAGGGAAAGAUGAAAAGCACCUUGAAAAGGGAGUGAAAUAGCGCGUGAAAUUGUUAAAAGGGAAACGAUUGAGGCCAGCAUUGUGUGUAUAUUUUGGGUGUGUUUUGUAUAGUGUUGAGAGCGAGAGCCUCACGUUAUACUGUAUACAUCCAAGAUGGCACGCGAGUCAGGGCCGCUUCGAAUUGCCUUAUAAUACUCUGGGAAGGUAGUCAUCACUUGUGAUGACCUUAUAGUCCAGAGGGAUGUGGUGAUUUGGAGCUGGUAGUGCAGCAAGUCUUUGCUUGUGUGUUGAGCGGGUGUCGACUGCUUGCAGACUAUACUCGAGCAACACAUAACAUCACUGACAACCAUGCACAGGCCUGACGGAAUGGUAUCAACCGACCCGUCUUGAAACACGGACCAAGGAGUCUAACAUGUAUGCGAGUGUUUGGGUGGCAAACCCGAGCGCGCAAUGAAAGUAACUAGUGUGGGACCAUUAAGAUGGGCACCACGGACCGAUCUUGAUAUCUCUUGAUAGACUCGAGUCAGAGCAUAAAUGUUGGGACCCGAAAGAUGGUGAACUAUGCCUGGAUAGGAUGAAGCCAGAGGAAACUCUGGUGGAGGUCCGCCGCCGUUCUGACGUGCAAAUCGAUGGUCAAAUUUGGGCAUAGGGGCGAAAGACUAAUCGAACCAUCUAGUAGCUGGUUCCCUC
RNAcentral lists this unclassified non-coding RNA (1612 nucleotides) under uncultured fungus. RNAcentral's name for it is "sequence contains 18S rRNA gene, ITS1, 5.8S rRNA gene, ITS2, 28S rRNA gene". The stretch from base 564 to 1612 matches the Rfam family "Eukaryotic large subunit ribosomal RNA", at positions 1 to 961 of the family's 3401-position model. Lineage: Eukaryota; Fungi. The record is from RNAcentral.